This is a non-coding RNA of Misgurnus anguillicaudatus (oriental weatherfish), 163 nucleotides long. NCBI's taxonomy places the organism in Eukaryota, Metazoa, Chordata, Actinopteri, Cypriniformes, Cobitidae. The record is from RefSeq and is a predicted model, not a curated record.
UGACAGUGACAAAAAGGAAGCAGCCUUCUCUAGCCCACCCAAGUUUCCAUCAAAGGAGCAAGCCUAUGUCAGUAAGAAGAAAGCUGGCUAACCCUCCCACCCCUUGUUUAACUCCUCCAGCCCAUCCCACAUCAUUGUAGAGUGAAGAGACUGCGGUUAAUAU